CCAGCAGGUUAAGCUGGGCACUCUGGCGAGACUGCCGUUGAUAAAACGGAGGAAGGUGGGGACGACGUCAAAUCAUCAUGCCCCUUACUGUCCUGGGCGUACACACGUACUACAAUGGCAGCAACAGAGGGCAGCCAGGCCGCGAGGCCGAGCGAAUCCCAAAAUGCUGUCUCAGUUCAGAUUGCAGGCUGCAACUCGCCUGCAUGAAGUCGGAAUUGCUAGUAAUCGCGGAUCAGCACGCCGCGGUGAAUACGUUCCCGGGCCUU
Molecule: ribosomal RNA, 266 nt
Filed under: uncultured Fastidiosipila sp.
Lineage: Bacteria; Bacillati; Bacillota; Clostridia; Eubacteriales; Oscillospiraceae
Description: partial 16S ribosomal RNA
Rfam family: Bacterial small subunit ribosomal RNA
Source: RNAcentral